This 2902-nucleotide ribosomal RNA is filed under the name Klebsiella pneumoniae. RNAcentral's name for it is "23S ribosomal RNA". It matches the Rfam family "Bacterial large subunit ribosomal RNA". Lineage: Bacteria; Pseudomonadati; Pseudomonadota; Gammaproteobacteria; Enterobacterales; Enterobacteriaceae. RNAcentral also lists the same sequence under 1 other name. The record is from RNAcentral.
GGUUAAGCGACUAAGCGUACACGGUGGAUGCCCUGGCAGUCAGAGGCGAUGAAGGACGUGCUAAUCUGCGAAAAGCGUCGGUAAGGUGAUAUGAACCGUUAUAACCGGCGAUGUCCGAAUGGGGAAACCCAGUGUGAUUCGUCACACUAUCGUUAACUGAAUACAUAGGUUAACGAGGCGAACCGGGGGAACUGAAACAUCUAAGUACCCCGAGGAAAAGAAAUCAACCGAGAUUCCCCCAGUAGCGGCGAGCGAACGGGGAGCAGCCCAGAGUCUGAAUCAGCUUGUGUGUUAGUGGAACGGUCUGGAAAGUCCGACGGUACAGGGUGAUAGUCCCGUACACCAAAAUGCACAGGCUGUGAACUCGAAGAGUAGGGCGGGACACGUGGUAUCCUGUCUGAAUAUGGGGGGACCAUCCUCCAAGGCUAAAUACUCCUGACUGACCGAUAGUGAACCAGUACCGUGAGGGAAAGGCGAAAAGAACCCCGGCGAGGGGAGUGAAAAAGAACCUGAAACCGUGUACGUACAAGCAGUGGGAGCACCUUCGGGUGUGACUGCGUACCUUUUGUAUAAUGGGUCAGCGACUUAUAUUCUGUAGCAAGGUUAACCGUAUAGGGGAGCCGCAGGGAAACCGAGUCUUAACUGGGCGUUAAGUUGCAGGGUAUAGACCCGAAACCCGGUGAUCUAGCCAUGGGCAGGUUGAAGGUUGGGUAACACUAACUGGAGGACCGAACCGACUAAUGUUGAAAAAUUAGCGGAUGACUUGUGGCUGGGGGUGAAAGGCCAAUCAAACCGGGAGAUAGCUGGUUCUCCCCGAAAGCUAUUUAGGUAGCGCCUCGUGAAUUCAUCUUCGGGGGUAGAGCACUGUUUCGGCUAGGGGGUCAUCCCGACUUACCAACCCGAUGCAAACUACGAAUACCGAAGAAUGUUAUCACGGGAGACACACGGCGGGUGCUAACGUCCGUCGUGAAGAGGGAAACAACCCAGACCGCCAGCUAAGGUCCCAAAGUCAUGGUUAAGUGGGAAACGAUGUGGGAAGGCACAGACAGCCAGGAUGUUGGCUUAGAAGCAGCCAUCAUUUAAAGAAAGCGUAAUAGCUCACUGGUCGAGUCGGCCUGCGCGGAAGAUGUAACGGGGCUAAACCAUGCACCGAAGCUGCGGCAGCGACACUAUGUGUUGUUGGGUAGGGGAGCGUUCUGUAAGCCUGCGAAGGUGACCUGUGAGGGUUGCUGGAGGUAUCAGAAGUGCGAAUGCUGACAUAAGUAACGAUAAAGCGGGUGAAAAGCCCGCUCGCCGGAAGACCAAGGGUUCCUGUCCAACGUUAAUCGGGGCAGGGUGAGUCGACCCCUAAGGCGAGGCCGAAAGGCGUAGUCGAUGGGAAACAGGUUAAUAUUCCUGUACUUGGUGUUACUGCGAAGGGGGGACGGAGAAGGCUAUGUUAGCCGGGCGACGGUUGUCCCGGUUUAAGCAUGUAGGCUGGUUGUCCAGGCAAAUCCGGAUAAUCAAGGCUGAGGUGUGAUGACGAGGCACUACGGUGCUGAAGUAACAAAUGCCCUGCUUCCAGGAAAAGCCUCUAAGCAUCAGGUAACAUUAAAUCGUACCCCAAACCGACACAGGUGGUCAGGUAGAGAAUACCAAGGCGCUUGAGAGAACUCGGGUGAAGGAACUAGGCAAAAUGGUGCCGUAACUUCGGGAGAAGGCACGCUGGUGUGUAGGUGAAGUCCCUGCGGAUGGAGCUGAGACCAGUCGAAGAUACCAGCUGGCUGCAACUGUUUAUUAAAAACACAGCACUGUGCAAACACGAAAGUGGACGUAUACGGUGUGACGCCUGCCCGGUGCCGGAAGGUUAAUUGAUGGGGUUAUCCGUAAGGAGAAGCUCUUGAUCGAAGCCCCGGUAAACGGCGGCCGUAACUAUAACGGUCCUAAGGUAGCGAAAUUCCUUGUCGGGUAAGUUCCGACCUGCACGAAUGGCGUAAUGAUGGCCAGGCUGUCUCCACCCGAGACUCAGUGAAAUUGAACUCGCUGUGAAGAUGCAGUGUACCCGCGGCAAGACGGAAAGACCCCGUGAACCUUUACUAUAGCUUGACACUGAACAUUGAGCCUUGAUGUGUAGGAUAGGUGGGAGGCUUUGAAGCGUGGACGCCAGUCUGCGUGGAGCCAACCUUGAAAUACCACCCUUUAAUGUUUGAUGUUCUAACGUUGGCCCCUUACCGGGGUUGCGGACAGUGUCUGGUGGGUAGUUUGACUGGGGCGGUCUCCUCCCAAAGCGUAACGGAGGAGCACGAAGGUUAGCUAAUCCUGGUCGGACAUCAGGAGGUUAGUGCAAUGGCAUAAGCUAGCUUGACUGCGAGCGUGACGGCGCGAGCAGGUGCGAAAGCAGGUCAUAGUGAUCCGGUGGUUCUGAAUGGAAGGGCCAUCGCUCAACGGAUAAAAGGUACUCCGGGGAUAACAGGCUGAUACCGCCCAAGAGUUCAUAUCGACGGCGGUGUUUGGCACCUCGAUGUCGGCUCAUCACAUCCUGGGGCUGAAGUAGGUCCCAAGGGUAUGGCUGUUCGCCAUUUAAAGUGGUACGCGAGCUGGGUUUAGAACGUCGUGAGACAGUUCGGUCCCUAUCUGCCGUGGGCGCUGGAGAAUUGAGGGGGGCUGCUCCUAGUACGAGAGGACCGGAGUGGACGCAUCACUGGUGUUCGGGUUGUCAUGCCAAUGGCACUGCCCGGUAGCUAAAUGCGGAAGAGAUAAGUGCUGAAAGCAUCUAAGCACGAAACUUGCCCCGAGAUGAGUUCUCCCUGAGACUUUAAGUCUCCUGAAGGAACGUUGAAGACGACGACGUUGAUAGGCCGGGUGUGUAAGCGCAGCGAUGCGUUGAGCUAACCGGUACUAAUGAACCGUGAGGCUUAACCUU